This 440-nucleotide ribosomal RNA is filed under the name uncultured bacterium. RNAcentral describes it as "partial 16S ribosomal RNA". It matches the Rfam family "Bacterial small subunit ribosomal RNA", at positions 338 to 795 of the family's 1533-position model. The record is from RNAcentral.
CCUACGGGCGGCAGCAGUGGGGAAUAUUGCACAAUGGGGGAAACCCUGAUGCAGCGACGCCGCGUGAGUGAAGAAGUAUCUCGGUAUGUAAAGCUCUAUCAGCAGGGAAGAAAAUGACGGUACCUGACUCAGCAGCCCCGGCUAACUACGUGCCAGCGGCCGCGGUAAUACGUAGGGGGCAAGCGUUAUCCGGAUUUACUGGGUUUAAGGGGAGCGUUGACGGUGCUGCAGGUCCGGGGUGAAAGCCCAUGGCUUAACCAUGGUACUGCCGUGGAAACUGUGGAGCUGGAGUGCGGGAGGGGCAGGCGGAAUUCCUGGUGUAGCGGUGAAAUGUGUAGAUAUUAGGAGGAACACCGACGGCGAAGGCGGCCUGCUGGACCGUAACUGACGUUGAGGCUCGAAAGCGUGGGGAGCAAACAGGAUUAGAUACCCGUGUAGUC